CCUACGGGAGGCAGCAGUGGGGGAUAUUGCACAAUGGGGGAAACCCUGAUGCAGCGACGCCGCGUGUGGGAAGACGGUCCUCUGGAUUGUAAACCACUGUCCCCAGGGACGAAGAUGACGUUACCUGGGGAGGAAGCUCCGGCUAACUACGUGCCAGCAGCCGCGGUAAUACGUAGGGAGCGAGCGUUGUCCGGAAUUACUGGGUGAAAAGGGAGCGUAGGCGGGACUGCAAGUUGGGUGUCAAAUCUACCGGCGCAACCGGUAGCCGCACUCAAAACUGCAGUUCUUGAGUGAAGUAGAGGCAGGCGGAAUUCCUAGUGUAGCGGUGAAAUGCGUAGAUAUUAGGAGGAACACCAGUGGCGAAGGCGGCCUGCUGGGCUUUUACUGACGCUGAGGCUCGAAAGUGUGGGGAGCAAACAGGAUUAGAUACCCGUGUAGUC
This 440-nucleotide ribosomal RNA is filed under the name uncultured bacterium. Its description in RNAcentral is "partial 16S ribosomal RNA". It matches the Rfam family "Bacterial small subunit ribosomal RNA", at positions 338 to 795 of the family's 1533-position model. The record is from RNAcentral.